This 531-nucleotide ribosomal RNA is filed under the name uncultured bacterium. RNAcentral's name for it is "bacterial SSU rRNA". It matches the Rfam family "Bacterial small subunit ribosomal RNA", at positions 28 to 545 of the family's 1533-position model. The record is from RNAcentral.
GAUGAACGCUGGCGGCGUGCUUAACACAUGCAAGUCGAACGGAGUCAUCAUUUUUGAAGCGAUUAGCUUGCUAAGAGUGGAAAUGUUGAUGACUUAGUGGCGGACGGGUGAGUAACGCGUGGGUAACCUGCCAUAUACAGGGGGAUAACACUUAGAAAUAGGUGCUAAUACCGCAUAAGCGCACAGUCCCGCAUGGGACAGUGUGAAAAACUCCGGUGGUAUAUGAUGGACCCGCGUCUGAUUAGCUUGUUGGUGGGGUAACGGCCCACCAAGGCGACGAUCAGUAGCCGGCCUGAGAGGGUGAACGGCCACAUUGGGACUGAGACACGGCCCAAACUCCUACGGGAGGCAGCAGUGGGGGAUAUUGGACAAUGGGGGGAACCCUGAUCCAGCGACGCCGCGUGAGUGAAGAAGUAUCUCGGUAUGUAAAGCUCUAUCAGCAGGGAAGAAAGAAAUGACGGUACCUGAGUAAGAAGCCCCGGCUAACUACGUGCCAGCAGCCGCGGUAAUACGUAGGGGGCAAGCGUUAUC